AUGUCCGCCGCGGCGGCGCACUCGCACUCGCACUCGCCAUCGCCAUGGCCGCCGCCGCCACCUCCGCCGGCGCCGGCUGGACCCGACUCCCUCACCUCCCUUCUGGGCUCCCUCUCCACCCCCUCCGCCGCCCGCCUCCUCCCCUGCCCCGUCGUCGCCUUCUCCCAGCUCCGCAGCCUCCUGCCCGCCCCCCACCUCCUCCUCCGCCCCAUCAUCUCCAUCCUCCACCUCCACGGCUCCAGCCCCCGGCUGGGCCUCCAGCUGCACGCGCUGUCCCUCUCCCUCGGCCUGUCCCGGGACCCGCUCCUCCUCCGCCGCCUCGUCUCCCUCUACUGCUCCCACCCCUCCCUGCUGCCGGACGCCGCCUCCCUCGCCGCCGGCUCCGCCUGCCCCGUCCCCUACAACAUCCUCAUGUCCUCAUGCCUCGGCCACGGCCUCCCGCGCCAGGCCCUCGCCGCCUACCAGCAAAUGCUCAGCAGCGCCGCGGUCACUCCGGACGCCUUCACCUACCCUUCCGUCCUCCGCGCCUGCGCCGAGGCCCGGGACCUCGCGAUGGGCCGGGCGGUGCACACGCACGCCGCGGCCGCCGGGAUGGACGGCCACUUGUUCUUCCAGAACGCGCUGGUGUCCAUGGUGUUCGACGGAAUGGGGCACAAGGAUGUCGUGUCAUGGAACUCGAUGAUCUCAGCGUAUGCCACGGCUGGGCAAUGGGAAGGGGCGGUGGAGCUGUUUCAGAAGAUGCGAGCCGAGGAGGCAGAGGUGAACUCGGUCACGUGGAACACGAUCGCUGGGGUGUACGUCAAGAUACGCGACCAUAAGGCAGCGGUUGGGCUGAUCCGGGAGAUGGUAAGGGGUGGAGCAGAGGUGGAUUUCGUGACAGUGGUGAUUGGGCUGAACGCGUGCUCGCGGGUUGGCUGGCUGAGGCUCGGGAAGGAGAUCCAUGGUUUGGCAGUACGCAUGUGCUGUCACGGGGAACAGAGUGUAAGCAAUGCGUUGAUCACCAUGUAUGCCAGGUGCAAAGAUAUGGAUUGCGCUCACAGGCUGUUUACAAUGCUGGGGUGCCCUGGUGUGCCUAAUUAUGUCACUGUUGUCACCUACCUUGCCCUCUGCGCCCGUGUUGCAAAUCUGCAACAUGGACGGGAGCUUCACACCCACAUUGUUAAGCAUGGGUUUAAAGGUUAUCGAUUGCUGUGGAACUCUCUUAUUGACAUGUACUCCAAGUCAGGCAGGCUCUCUGUAGCGCAAAAUGUCUUUGAUACCAUGGAGGACCAUGAUAUGAUAUCCUACACUUCAAUGAUAGCAGGAUACGGGAUGCAAGGGAAAGGAUCAGUUGCGCUACGGCUUUUCGACCAGAUGAUUGAUAGUGGGAUCCAGCCAGACAACAUUAUCAUGGUCACUGUCCUCUCUGCUUGCAGCCACUCUGGACUUGUGACUCAAGGAGAAGAGUUUUUUGACAAGAUGACCAGUUCAUAUGGUCUAAAGCCCCAGACAGAGCAUUAUACUUGCAUGGUUGAUCUAUAUGCGCGUGCUGGCCUAUUAGAAAAGGCAGAAUGGAUGCUCAAUCAGAGCUCUUUCAUUCCAACACCCGCGAUGUGGGCAGCAUUAGUCAGGGCUUGUCAUGACAGGGGUAACAUAAUAAUUGGUGAAAGGGCAGCAAGGAAACUCUUGGAUAUGAGGACAGAGAAUGCUGGGCACUAUGUUCUAAUUGCCAACAUGUAUGCAGCUGCAGGUUGUUGGGAUGAGCUAGCAGUAGUGAGGAAGCUGAUGCGAGACUUAGGUGUCACGAAAGCACCUGGGUUGGCAUGGGCUGAUCUCGGUAAUGGGUUUACCCCUUUUUUGGUUGGAGACAGGUCAAACCCUCUAGCACCAGAGAUCUAUGAAGUUUUGGAUGAACUGUCGGAGCAAAUGAAGAAUAUAAAUAGCUGCAGUGAUCUAGAAAUGGUAGAGGGAUUCGUAGAGUAA
RNAcentral lists this ribosomal RNA (1962 nucleotides) under Triticum aestivum (bread wheat). Its description in RNAcentral is "partial small subunit ribosomal RNA". Lineage: Eukaryota; Viridiplantae; Streptophyta; Magnoliopsida; Poales; Poaceae. The record is from RNAcentral.